UGGGGAAUAUUGCACAAUGGGCGCAAGCCUGAUGCAGCAACGCCGCGUGAGGGACGACGGCCUUCGGGUUGUAAACCUCUUUUAGUAGGGAAGAAGCGAAAGUGACGGUACCUGCAGAAAAAGCACCGGCUAACUACGUGCCAGCAGCCGCGGUAAUACGUAGGGUGCGAGCGUUGUCCGGAAUUAUUGGGCGUAAAGAGCUCGUAGGCGGUCUGUCGCGUCUGCUGUGAAAACCCCGAGGCUCAACCUCGGGCCUGCAGUGGGUACGGGCAGACUAGAGUGCGGUAGGGGAGAAUGGAAUUCCUGGUGUAGCGGUGGAAUGCGCAGAUAUCAGGAGGAACACCGAUGGCGAAGGCAGUUCUCUGGGCCGUAACUGACGCUGAGGAGCGAAAGCGUGGGGAGCGAACAGGAUUAGAUACCCUGGUAGUCCACGCCGUAAACGUUGGGCGCUAGAUGUGGGGACCAUUCCACGGUUU
RNAcentral lists this ribosomal RNA (476 nucleotides) under uncultured bacterium. Its description in RNAcentral is "partial 16S ribosomal RNA". It matches the Rfam family "Bacterial small subunit ribosomal RNA", at positions 355 to 840 of the family's 1533-position model. The record is from RNAcentral.